Molecule: transfer RNA, 83 nt
Filed under: Canis lupus familiaris (dog)
Lineage: Eukaryota; Metazoa; Chordata; Mammalia; Carnivora; Canidae
Also listed under: 1 other name
Rfam family: tRNA
About the family: Transfer RNA (tRNA) molecules are approximately 80 nucleotides in length. Their secondary structure includes four short double-helical elements and three loops (D, anti-codon, and T loops).
Source: Rfam by way of RNAcentral
GCCUGGGUGGCUCAGUGGUUGAGCAUCUGCCCUUGGGUCAGCUAUUGAUCCUGAGGUCUGGGGAUCAAGUCCCCAAUCAGGCU